CAGUGAUCUGCAAAACUUAAGUGCAGCAUGCCUUGUUACAAUUUCCCCUCCUGUUCUUUGUCUUCCCCCCCCUUCCCCCUUACUACAAAUGGGCACGGGGUUUCAUACCACUCUGAUGUUCCCCAGCUAUAGGUAUGCUACUUAGCCUUUGUAUGUUCUCAUUGUCACACAAUGUAUAGCAUUCUGUUAUAUGUAAUAUGGAAUGAAACCUCCUGUCUCUUGAAAAAUUGCAAAUAAA
This is a non-coding RNA of Pelobates cultripes (western spadefoot toad), 238 nucleotides long. The record is from the annotation of a GenBank genome assembly. Lineage: Eukaryota; Metazoa; Chordata; Amphibia; Anura; Pelobatidae.